AAAGAAACCAACCGGGAUUGCCUCAGUAACGGCGAGUGAAGCGGCAAGAGCUCAAAUUUGAAAUCUGGCCCCCUCGGGGUCCGAGUUGUAAUUUGCAGAGGAUGCUUCGGGUGCGGCCCCCGUCUAAGUGCCCUGGAACGGGCCGUCAUAGAGGGUGAGAAUCCCGUCUGGGACGGGGUGUCCGCGUCCGUGUGAAGCUCCUUCGACGAGUCGAGUUGUUUGGGAAUGCAGCUCUAAAUGGGUGGUAAAUUUCAUCUAAAGCUAAAUACUGGCCGGAGACCGAUAGCGCACAAGUAGAGUGAUCGAAAGAUGAAAAGCACUUUGAAAAGAGAGUUAAAAAGCACGUGAAAUUGUUGAAAGGGAAGCGCUUGCGACCAGACUCGCCCGCGGGGUUCAGCCGGCAUUCGUGCCGGUGUACUUCCCCGCGGGCGGGCCAGCGUCGGUUUGGGCGGCCGGUCAAAGGCCCCCGGAAUGUAGCACCCUUCGGGGUGCCUUAUAGCCGGGGGUGCAAUGCGGCCAGCCUGGACCGAGGAACGCGCUUCGGCACGGACGCUGGCAUAAUGGUCGUAAACGAC
Molecule: ribosomal RNA, 575 nt
Filed under: Aspergillus ochraceus
Lineage: Eukaryota; Fungi; Ascomycota; Eurotiomycetes; Eurotiales; Aspergillaceae
Also listed under: 3 other names
Description: eukaryotic LSU rRNA
Rfam family: Eukaryotic large subunit ribosomal RNA
Source: RNAcentral